AUUGAACGCUGGCGGAAUGCUUUACACAUGCAAGUCGAACGGCAGCAUAGGUGCUUGCACCUGAUGGCGAGUGGCGGACGGGUGAGUAAUACAUCGGAACGUGCCCAGUCGUGGGGGAUAACGUAGCGAAAGUUACGCUAAUACCGCAUACGAUCUAAGGAUGAAAGCGGGGGACCGUAAGGCCUCGCGCGAUUGGAGCGGCCGAUGUCAGAUUAGGUAGUUGGUGAGGUAAAGGCUCACCAAGCCGACGAUCUGUAGCUGGUCUGAGAGGACGACCAGCCACACUGGGACUGAGACACGGCCCAGACUCCUACGGGAGGCAGCAGUGGGGAAUUUUGGACAAUGGACGCAAGUCUGAUCCAGCCAUUCCGCGUGCAGGACGAAGGCCUUCGGGUUGUAAACUGCUUUUGUACGGAACGAUAAAGCUCUUACUAAUACUAGGAGUCCAUGACGGUACCGUAAGAAUAAGCACCGGCUAACUACGUGCCAGCAGCCGCCGCCG
RNAcentral lists this ribosomal RNA (502 nucleotides) under uncultured bacterium. RNAcentral describes it as "partial 16S ribosomal RNA". It matches the Rfam family "Bacterial small subunit ribosomal RNA", at positions 30 to 523 of the family's 1533-position model. The record is from RNAcentral.